RNAcentral lists this long non-coding RNA (707 nucleotides) under Coccomyxa subellipsoidea. RNAcentral's name for it is "long non-coding RNA (CSUB_LNC000521)". The record is from RNAcentral. Lineage: Eukaryota; Viridiplantae; Chlorophyta; Trebouxiophyceae; Coccomyxaceae.
AAUUUGGUAAUGUAGUGGGAGAAAAUGAAUGUGAAUUGUGAUACCGGUUGUAGUACAAGUGGACGACCGUCCACCGGCCCAUCCCUUUUUGGGACAGACAACUGGAACAAAUUCAGCCCCAAGGUGAUCUUGAAGAUGGUGCCUAUUCAUUUGUAAACAGCCAUUUCUCAAGGAAGUCGAAUUAAUUUGAUUUGGAGCAUAAUUCAAUACUAUAAACAAAGCGUGAAUGCUCGUGUUCGUAGGCCCACCUCUGUUCUCCACGCUUACCAUCGCGAAGGCAAAAACAGAGGAUCUAUAAGUCUGAAAGGCGCCGGUGGCAAGUGCACGCUGCCGAGCAGGUCUGAUUGGGGCACCACAUUUUCAGUCUCCAGAGCUGAACUAUGCGUUUGUCGGCAUCAUUCUGUGUUGCAAUAGGACUUAUUCAUGAUGCCAAUGCACAGGUGAAGGCAGAUGGAGGUGGGGGCCAGGCACAGGGCUUUACCCCAGACAAGUGGCUUUUUGAGCCAAAUUAUGGGCUCCCUAUUGUCCGACGCCAGCUUAAGUAAUGCCCAGACAACUUCUAGACAUGCAUAAAAGGCAGUCCAUCGUUUUUAGUACCUAACAUACAGUGUCUUGUUUUAAGUGGCUGCACUGACAGCUGUCGUUCGCUCAAUGUAUCACCUUGCAGAACGCUCAACCAAAGCUCAUGAGCAAGUCUCUGACUGCAG